This 16-nucleotide transfer RNA is filed under the name Juglans mandshurica. RNAcentral's name for it is "partial tRNA-Phe". Lineage: Eukaryota; Viridiplantae; Streptophyta; Magnoliopsida; Fagales; Juglandaceae. RNAcentral also lists the same sequence under 5 other names. The record is from RNAcentral.
GGUCGGGAUAGCUCAG